Long non-coding RNA from Dromaius novaehollandiae (emu), 1839 nucleotides. RefSeq lists it as uncharacterized. Lineage: Eukaryota; Metazoa; Chordata; Aves; Casuariiformes; Dromaiidae. The record is from RefSeq and is a predicted model, not a curated record. The transcript has 3 exons.
CAGCUUGCAUUCGUGGCUGUUUUGUGGCCAGCUUCAUUGUAAGGACUUGAAAUGCGCUUCUCAUCCAUCUACAGCCAGGCAUCCUACAGCCUGGUAGGGAAGACAACACUGAGACAAUGAGAAACAGCAAACCUAACAUACUUGCUUAGCAUUCCUGAAGGAUUUUGGAAGCAGCACUGAAGUAACAUGCAAAAAAAGGCAAAAAUUAAGAGAUUAAUUAUACUUUAUUAUUCUGCUUUUUUCCUUAACUAGUUAGCAAAUGUCAUCCAUGUUAUUUUCUCUAGAACAAAAUUCCUGCACAGAAAUUAAAAGUAAGUCUAAAACAAUGCAGCUACAUUCUAAUUGCAAAAACCUUUUUCUCAGUGCAGGAAGGAGAAGAAAUGAUCUCCAGAUAUCUGUGUGAGUUGGAUCAUUGUGGCGGACCGAUGAAUGAAUCUUUUUGCCUUAAACAUUUCUUGGUGCAUGGGGUGCAGGCAGGCCAUAACCCCGAGCAAGCCGUCUGUCCCUGGCAGAAACAGGACUGGGCUGCUGCGACCCCCGAGAUGGUCUCCCUGCGACCACCCGGGACACACCGAGCCUGCACUGAACAAGACCACAAUCGGGCAGAGACUUUGGGACCUGGACUGUAAAUUAUUGUCCGUUUUUAGCGCAACUUCUGUGAAACUUGCUUGGCAUGAGUGGCUGAAUUUGCUGGAGCCUUAGGCCGCACUCCCUAGUUCGGUGAGAAAGGGCCCCAGAGCUGGUGCAGGCGGGAACGAUAAGGGAGUUACCAGCAGUUUGCAUCUGAAACAGUGCUAAUUGCUGGAGUUACCACCUCUUUGUCAGGACCUGCAGAGACAACAGCAGAACCCGAGAAAUGGAGACACACCUGUGGAAGAAACUGCAGCAGAAAACAGCCUGCCUAGGAACGACGAUGAGAUCCAAUAAGGAGCAGGAGACCCCAGACCCAAAAAACUGCUAUUGGUCCAAACUACCGUGUGAGGGGUGGAGAGCUUAGAUUGGAAGGUAUAAUUGUCCAGGGAUUUCUUUGUUCGGGGUCCCUCUUCGGAGGUACCCAACUCGGGCUGUGUGAAGAGGACCCACCUACCACCAGACGGCCCCCCCCCCCACCGCUGAGACUCCCAAAGGAAGAGGACCAACGGGACAACGCUGGAUCCAUGGCUGGACUAUGUCAUCAGUAUCAGCAGCUCCUCAACUUUCUGCUUUUCUCCACUCCGACAAUUAUCUCAGCUUCUCCACUGUCAUACUCCACCAGUGCUGUAUAGAAACACUGCAAGAUAAGCUGGCUUUACAUAUGAAAUGACAAACUGUGGUUUUUUUAAUCAAGAUUCCAGACCUAGAAGAGCUGGUGACUGUAAAUAGUGAAACUCAUUUUCACAAGAUGGCAGUGAAAUCUUCAGAUCAAAAGACUAGUGAGACUGAAAAAAUGAUGUGAUAUUCACAAAUGUGGACAUUUUAUUAUCCAUAUAGCAGCUAGUGCUAGCAAACUAUGACUGUGACUCAAGGAUCAAAUCAACUGGAAAUCACCAGGAAUUAGGAAGAGUUGAACUGUGAAGUGCAAUUAUCAUGUAUCUGCCUUAACAGAAGGUUGCUUUUACCUUCUCUGAAGUUGGUGACUUUGACAACGACUGACUCCGGAAACAGGAAACUACAUAGGUCUGAUUUGACAUGGUAAUUCCAGUGAGAUAACUAGGCUUUUUUCGGUAGCUGUGUAAUCCUGAAAAAGGAGUGGUUUGGUACAAAGUGAUUAAAGAAGUGCAUGGUACUUUGGGAGUACAAAUUAUUUUCUUUUUGUCAACAUAGUAACUUGUUGGAUGAUGAUUAACAGCUGUUAUAAAC